RNAcentral lists this long non-coding RNA (904 nucleotides) under Mus spicilegus (steppe mouse). RNAcentral describes it as "lncRNA (ENSMSIG00000012145.1)". Lineage: Eukaryota; Metazoa; Chordata; Mammalia; Rodentia; Muridae. The record is from RNAcentral.
AGAGCACUCCUUCAUUCUCAAAACACACAGUUCAGGGCCCAGCUCCAGGUGCCUCAGCCCCUAGGAAUCCCCUUGUCUGCACUUGAUCCUAGAAAGGGCAGAAGAAAAGCCACUGGGUAGGACCAGAUUGCACACUGUGUUCAGAACAUGUGUGGCACUUGGGGGUGUGGGAUAGGAACAUCUUCCUGGGAGCUCUGUUGCUGGGUCCCUCUAUGAGGUGGAUUCCAUGUGGCUCCGCCCAGCACCAAGAUCUGACCACAUCCCGCUGGACCACAGAAAAACUACUAUGUAGCUUUCCUUUCCCUCUGCUGCUCCAAGCAAGGUCCUCCUCACCUCCCAACCCUCCUUCCCCCACUCUCCCUCCCCUCACAUCCCCUCCCAGCCAUAGCUGAAUGACCCUCCCACCCCUUCUCACCCACUCUCCCGGCCAUAGCUGCAUGACCCUCCUGCCUCUGCGAAUGUUCAGGUUCCUUUUGCUAUCAAAAGCUAUGGAGCCACAAAAGGACAUGCAGCAAAUCACAUGCCCAAGGUCUACCGCCUUAAAGAGAAGCCAGAGACGGAGAUUAAAUACAAGCAUUAAAGACAAAACAAAAUGCAGAGGUCUGAAGAUAGUGGUCAUCUUUAACAACAAAAUCUUGAAGAUUUUUACUCUAGACGUCCGUGGUCAGGGGAAUCCCCUCUGGGAUGGAACCAAGUGAGGACAUUGUCACAGGAAAGGCCCCAAAGACACUUCAUCACCAGAAACACGAGAGGAUGUCCCGAGGCUGAAUGGAGAUUGCCCCAGGGUAUCUGAGGUACCUUUAGGGAUGAAGGAAGAGAAACAGCAGUCAUGGUAUGCCCACGUCUCUGUGGCUACUUUGAUGCGAGAGGUAAAAAAACCUUUGAAACAUAAUGAACCCGUGAG